GGCGGGAAGAGGGAAGAUUUGUUGACCAUCAGGUGUCCUGAAUUGUCUUAAGCAGAGGAGGCCUGUGAGAAAAAGAAGCAAGAGACAAGGAAGUGGGAGCCAGGGCCCCGUCCAAGGGGGCUGGACCCUAAUUCAAAGACAGUGGGACCAUGGCUUCUGUGUCCAGUGCGGGGGUGUAGGGGCUGUGCUUCCAAAGGACACAGCCCAGACUGAAGGGGAUGGUCAGAGACGGGUCAUAGAAUCCAUCCUCUCACAACGCAGCAGAUGCCUGGCCCACUGCCAAGGUCGUGGGAAAGGGAGCGACCAGAGAUGGGGUGGGGGGCGCAGAGAGCUCCAGCAGAGAGGCGAACGAGAGCAGGGGCAGCGAGGGCUGUGGGAGAUGGAAAUCCACCUUCUCCAUGAGGGGGUGGGAUGGUGCUUAUACAGGACACCACCCGUAAAACAAAAAAGAGAAAAAGAAAAGGUGGGAUGAUAAAGUCCUUCUGGUCAUUUUACAAAAAAGUCCUGCAGGAGAGGAAAACCCUGUAGGAAAGGAGACUGGGGGUUGGGGGCUGGGGUUUGAGGUGGGCUGCAGGGCAGGAGGAGAGGAGGGGUUGGAGGUCGAGGGGAGGGGCGUGGGUGAGGGGGAGCAGGCGGGCCUCCGAGGAAAGCCUCCAGAGUCUGCCCCUUGGCCUGGGGGGACUGGUGACUAAAGCGGUCUCAAUGAGGGGCAGUACGUGGUGAGGAACAAAGUCCGGGGGGAUGUUAGGAGCUCAACUGCACUGAAUCAGAUCCUCUUGAAUGUAGCACAGUCGGCGGCAUCAGAUGAGAUAGUGAAAAGAGAAUUCCAUUCAGGUGGUUCACCUGCAGAGACUUGAAAGAGGGUGUGGGCAGAACUAAAGAGACUAACCCCCAGAGACCAGCAACAGCCGAAGCCACCCACCCCGGGCCUGAGCAGAGGGCAGUGAAGGUGGGACUGCGGCCCCAGAGAGGGCGGUCACACGGUCAUCAAUGUAGGGCCAGCACGGGGAUGGACAGAGAAGAAACACCCCAACUUCUCCCCCACUGCGGGCUCCUGGGUAGUGCUCACUGACUGAUCACAACAGAGAGUGGGGCGCGAGGCAGCCCAGGUGAUGUGAUUGUUCGGGACCACAGCCCUCCCAGGUGCCAAGCAAGGCAGGGAAGGGAUUUGAGGGCAGAGCAAAUGGAGAUGAACUGACACACACAGCUUGCAAGCAGCUUUCCCCCGAAUCCAUCAGAACACGAUGAUGUCGCUGGUGUGUGAUCCACACUGCUCUUCUCUCUGUGCGGGGGCAAUCAAGAGUAGAAGGAAGAGUUUCUCAGGACAUUGAAGUCAUUCUGCUUGUCAUCACCAAAAAUGUGCCCCUCAAAGAGCCAACUCAUUGGAAAAGAUCCUGAUGCUGAGAAAGAUUGAAGGCAGAAGGGCGCGACAGAGGCCGAGUUGGUUGGACGGCAUCACCGACUCAGUGAACAUGAGUUUGAACAAACUCCGGGAGAUGGUGAAGGACAGGGAAGCCUGGCGUGCUGCAGUCCAUGGGGUCACAAAGAGCUGGACAUGACUUAGCAACUGAACAGUGGUGACAUCAGCCUCAAAGCAGAAAUAGGUUUCCAUAAAGAUCUUCACUAGCGUUGAGCAUGGUACAGUGAUUACUUUUCAGGGGUUUUUUUAGGCUCUUCUUUUUUACAUAACCAAGCUUGAUAUUUAUUUAUGUAAAUUUUGGGAGCAGCACGGAUCUGCUUUGGAUGUCAAAUGUAGCCAUCUUUGCUGUGGGGCCAGGCCUCCCCCCGGCCAGAAUCUCAGGAAGGGAGCUUUUGUCAGAAACUGUCCUGAAGAGGGGGAAGCUUAUGAGCUUGGGAUUAGACAAAUCUGGGUUCAAAUCCCAGCUCUGACACUUAGCCCUGCAUUACCUUGAACAUGUACUUUAUCUACUUUCUCUUCUGUUAAAUAAAGAUAGAAGACAUGGAAGGGUCAAGCACUUAGCCCAGUACAUGGGAACUACUCAGUACAUGUUAUCUAUGGUUAUUCAUGUUGAUUAUGGUUGUUGUCAUUGAUACUGUUAUCAUCACCCUGCUGUUGAUCCUUCUUAGUUUUUAUGUAUUUGUGUCCUGGGUGUCUGUCUGGGCACUGUUCCUGGAGCUCAAGAAUUUUUGGUCUGACUCUGACUCUCCGCUACCCAAUCAUUUAUUGUCUGGAUUCCUAAAAUGCUCCUUGCUUGCCUGGAUCCUCCUCUGAUGUCCUUAAUUUCCUUGUAGGUCCUUGCUUUCCACCACCAGAUCAUCCUGUUGUGUCAGAGGACAGUUUCUAGUCCAGAAAGUUUGGCUUCCCCCUGGUGCCCCAUCAUAUCUCAGCCCUUUAGACCUGACCUGACAUCUGGAACUUGCUCUGUAUAUGAGCCCUCUUGCCCAGUCUAACAUCAGAUAUGGCAUGGUAUCUCCCUUUAGCCAGCCUUCUCUUCCAUCUGUAUGGUAUAUUGUGACUUUUCAACAUGUGAUGACUUUAUCUGGACCACUGCAGGCCCAACUCCUUUCUCUGAGCCCAUCCAAUCUCUUCUGUUCAAAGUCCUAGUUUCAAGAAUUAACCUUAAUAGAAUUAUCCACAUUCUCCACUUCAAAAGGAUUCUUCAUUACCCUAUAUGAUGAUUCUUAGAAUAAAAACCAUAUGACAUUUCCCCCAAAUGUAUUUGCUUUCUGUUCCUCAAGUAUUUUAUAUUCAACAG
Long non-coding RNA from Bos taurus (domestic cattle), 2717 nucleotides. Lineage: Eukaryota; Metazoa; Chordata; Mammalia; Artiodactyla; Bovidae. The record is from Ensembl.